Molecule: transfer RNA, 60 nt
Filed under: Changeondelphax velitchkovskyi
Lineage: Eukaryota; Metazoa; Arthropoda; Insecta; Hemiptera; Delphacidae
Description: tRNA-His
Source: RNAcentral
AUUGGUUUAGUUUAAAAAAAAUUUCAUUUUGUGAUAUUGAAGAUUCUUAAGAAGCUAAUA